Long non-coding RNA from Macaca fascicularis (crab-eating macaque), 1577 nucleotides. Lineage: Eukaryota; Metazoa; Chordata; Mammalia; Primates; Cercopithecidae. The record is from Ensembl.
GAACCUGGGAGGUGGGGGUUGCGGUGAGCUGAGAUCGCCACUGCACUCCAGCCUGGGCCACAGAGCGAGACUCGGUGUCAAAAAAAUAAAAAAUAGAAGCUAUCUGGGUGUGGUCCUUGGGUCAGCAGCCUCAUCAUCACCUAGGAGCUUGAUGGAAGUCCAGGCACUGAGAUCCAUCCCAGAUCUACUGAGCCAGAAUCUGCAGUUAGCAGGAUUCCUGGAGAAUCACAUGCACCUUUGGACUUGAGAAUCACUAGGCUGGGAGACCAACAGGUAUGGCAAAACUGCCAAGUUGCCAUAGGGAAUCCUGGGAGGCCCUGGGGUUCCAGACACUGACCCAGAUUCCUGGCUUCUUAUCUAGUCUCUCCAUUUAUGGAAAGUGAUGAGUGUUCAGAGAUAGGAGGUAACUUUCCCAACGUCACCCAGCAAGACAGGAGCAGAGCUGGCAUAGGAUCUCAGACUUUUGGUGUCCUCUUCCUCAGCUUUAAUCCCCAAGGCCAUCAGGGGAUCCCAGGGCUGCAGAAACCACAGGCUGGGCCGGGGCCAAGCAGGAGUCUCCUGAAGCUCCAUCAUCCUCAUUAAUCUCCCAACCUCAGAACGGGUUGUUUUCCUGAGAGGAACAAUCAGUGCCUUUGGGGACAACAGAACCCCUGGGAGGGGGACUCUGAGAAGGCCCUGGGCUGCACAACGUAGAUGGUGUCCUGCCAGCUCCCAAAAGAACAAUCUUUCUUGGCAAGCUCAUGGGGAUGCAUUCCCGGCAGUGUGAGUCGGAAUGGCAGGGUUACCAGGGAGCCUGGGAUCUCCCUGGGGAUGCCAGAGGGAACCCGAGGCACAGUGCCAGAGGAGGAUGAGCACUGAGCUGAGAGUCCACGGACCAGGAGCCUGGCCCAACACUGCUGCUGAUGGUUUUCAACCAUCUACUUCAUGUGCAGAAAACACUAAUAACUAUUGCUUAUAUUCUGCUUCUGUCCAUGAGCUCCAUGACUCUAACUGUGGCUAUGACACAGUCCUGGAAUUCAGAAUCCCAGAGUCCAAGUCUCUGCUCUGUCAUCAGUAACCCUGAGAUCUAGGCCCUGGAUUCUAGACUAAGGGGCUCAGCAUCUCUGAGCCUUAGUUUCUGCUUCUUUGAAAUGGGUAUGAUCACACACCUACCACAGUGGCAAAACCUAUAAUGAUUGACUGUAUCAAAUGUCGCUGGAAACAUGGAGCAACAGAGGCUCUCAUGUGUUGCUGGUGGGAGUGUGAAAUGGAACAGCCAUUUUGGAAAAAGUUUUGGCAGUUUCGAGUAAAGCAAAACCUACACCUACCCUAUGGCCCAGCAAUCCCACUCCACGUAAGAGAAACAGAAAUAUAUAGGAGAUCGAGAUCAUCCUGGCUAACACGGUAAAACUCCAUCUCUACUAAAAAAUACAAAAAUUAGCCAGGUGUGGUGGCACAUGCCUGUAGUCCCAGCUACUCGAGAGGCUGAGGCAGGAGAAUCGCUUGAACCCGGGAGGCAGAGGUUGCAGUGAGCCGAGAUUUCACCACUGCACUCCAGCCUGGGUGACAGAGUGAGACUUCAUCUCAAAAAAAAAAAA